RNAcentral lists this non-coding RNA (33 nucleotides) under unclassified sequences. Its description in RNAcentral is "DUF805b RNA". It matches the Rfam family "DUF805b RNA". Rfam says of the family: Bacteroidetes, Chlorobi (1 example), Proteobacteria. Lineage (Flavobacteria) The record is from RNAcentral.
AUUGCGGAAGCCGAAAAGCAGGAAGAGUAGGCA